UGAUCAGAGGAGCUGGGCUCCUUGCGAGCUCAACCUAUUCUCAAACUUUCAAUGGGUGAGACGUCUCGCUGGCUUCACUGCAGCGACGACUCUGAAUCCGAGUGCCCAGUGGGCCACUUUUGGUAAGCAGAACUGGCGAUGCGGGAUGAACCGCAUGUCGAGUUAAGGUGCCUAAGCGGACGCAAAUCAGAUACCAUGAAAGGUGUUGAUUGCUCACGACAGCAGGACGGUGGCCAUGGAAGUCGGCAUCCGCUAAGGAGUGUGUAACAACUCACCUGCCGAAGCAAUCAGCCCUGAAAAUGGAUGGCGCUAAAGCGUUCCACCGAUACUCGACCGUCGUCGGCACGCGACCGGCCCUGGGCCGGUCUCAGGCCACGACGAGUAGGGCGGCGCGGUGGUGAGCGUCGAAGGCGUAGCCGUGAGGCUAGCUGGAGCCGCCAUCGGUGCAGAUCUUGGUGGUAGUAGCAAAUACACAAGCAAGAUCCUUGUGGACCGAUGUGGAGAAGGGUUCCGCGCGAACAGUACUUGGACGUGGGUGAGUCGGCCCUAAGCCAACGGGUAAUUCCCGCAUCCCG
RNAcentral lists this ribosomal RNA (575 nucleotides) under Chelonibia testudinaria. RNAcentral's name for it is "eukaryotic LSU rRNA". It matches the Rfam family "Eukaryotic large subunit ribosomal RNA", at positions 1018 to 1573 of the family's 3401-position model. Lineage: Eukaryota; Metazoa; Arthropoda; Thecostraca; Balanomorpha; Chelonibiidae. The record is from RNAcentral.